GAUGAACGCUGGCGGCGUGCCUAAUACAUGCAAGUCGAACGAGGUGCUUUUGUAGCAAUACGAGAGUAUCCUAGUGGCGAACGGGUGAGUAACGCGUUGGUGACCUACCCCAAAGUGUGGGAUAACAGUCCGAAAGGAUUGCUAAUACCGCAUGUGGUCUUCGGAUUUAGAAACUGAUGACUAAAGGAGCAAUUCGCUUUGGGAGGGACCUGCGUCCCAUCAGCUAGUUGGUGAGGUAAUGGCUCACCAAGGCUACGACGGGUAGGGGACCUGAGAGGGUGACCCCCCACAAUGGAACUGAAACACGGUCCAUACACCUACGGGUGGCAGCAGUAGGGAAUAUUGCACAAUGGGCGAAAGCCUGAUGCAGCAACGCCGCGUGUGCGAUGAAGGCCUUCGGGUUGUAAAGCACUUUUCUGGGAGAUGAGCAAGGACAGUAUCUCAGGAAUAAGUCUCGGCUAACUACGUGCCAGCAGCCGCGGUAAU
RNAcentral lists this ribosomal RNA (486 nucleotides) under uncultured bacterium. Its description in RNAcentral is "bacterial SSU rRNA". It matches the Rfam family "Bacterial small subunit ribosomal RNA", at positions 28 to 524 of the family's 1533-position model. The record is from RNAcentral.